RNAcentral lists this ribosomal RNA (253 nucleotides) under uncultured bacterium. Its description in RNAcentral is "partial 16S ribosomal RNA". It matches the Rfam family "Bacterial small subunit ribosomal RNA", at positions 526 to 779 of the family's 1533-position model. The record is from RNAcentral.
CGGAGGGUGCAAGCGUUAUCCGGAUUUAUUGGGUUUAAAGGGUCCGUAGGCGGACCCGUAAGUCAGUGGUGAAAUCUCAUAGCUUAACUAUGAAACUGCCAUUGAUACUGCGGGUCUUGAGUAAAUUUGAAGUGGCUGGAAUAAGUAGUGUAGCGGUGAAAUGCAUAGAUAUUACUUAGAACACCAAUUGCGAAGGCAGGUCACUAAGAUUUAACUGACGCUGAUGGACGAAAGCGUGGUAGCGAACAGGAUU